GAGUUUGAUCCUGGCUCAGGAUUAACGCUAGCGGCAUGCCUAAUACAUGCAAGUCGAACGAAAGUAGCAAUACUUUAGUGGCGAACGGGUGAGUAACACGUAUCUAACCUACCAUUUAGUGAGGAAUAACUGUUGGAAACAACAGCUAAUACCGCAUAUGUUAUUUAUUUGCAAUGAUAAAUAAUGAAAGGAGCAUUUGCUUCGCUAAUUGAUGGGGAUGCGGCGCAUUAACUAGUUGGUAAGGUAAUGGCUUACCAAGGUAACGAUGCGUAGCCGAUCUGAGAGGAUGAACGGCCACAUUGGGACUGAGACACGGCCCAAACUUCUACGGAAGGCAGCAGUAGGGAAUUUUUCACAAUGGGCGAAAUCCUGAUGGAGCAAUGCCGCGUGACUGAUGAAGGUCUUCGGAUUGUAAAAGUCUGUUGUAAGAGAAGAAGUGCUAGAAUAGGAAAUGAUUUUAGUAUCGACCAUACCUUACCAGAAAGCCACGGCUAAAAAA
RNAcentral lists this ribosomal RNA (499 nucleotides) under Spiroplasma endosymbiont of Heliconius timareta. RNAcentral's name for it is "bacterial SSU rRNA". It matches the Rfam family "Bacterial small subunit ribosomal RNA", at positions 9 to 504 of the family's 1533-position model. Lineage: Bacteria; Bacillati; Mycoplasmatota; Mollicutes; Entomoplasmatales; Spiroplasmataceae. The record is from RNAcentral.